CAAUUAACAACUUAAAAUAUUACUAAAUGUAAAAGUAAUUAACAAACCAACAAAUUAAUGGAAACAAUAAUACUAUUUUUUUUGCAUAUGCUCACAUUUGUUUGCAAAAAAUCUUUAGAGAGAGAGGGUCCACCUUCUCUCUAAGGAAAUUAACGCUCAAUGAAUGAGGAUUCUCAGUUCAAACUUACCCCACCAGAUAAAAAGACAAGCCAAAUGGCAAUCGACAACAACAAUAAGAGUUCCUACAGGGAUUUGGUAAGGGGAAACACCACUAUUUCAUCUGAUUACUCCUUUCAAUGCCAUACUAGUGCUCAACAGGAAGAACCAACGAUGACAAAAGGCUUCAUCUCACUCUCCAUGGAGGACUGGCAAAGGAUCUACGGGCCAUGGCAUUUUAUACACAUAAUAAGGGCGGUGGGAAGAAGAUUUAACCAUCAAUACCUAAAAACAAAAUUGACUGGCCUAUGGAUCAGAUUCAGAGCACCAAUUUGGAUCAGAUUACCCCAGAUGCCUACGGAAUUUUAUGAUGUGGGUAUCCUGGAGCGCAUAGGAAGGAUGCUAGAAACCUUCGUUAAGGCAACUCUAAUGACCUCUGUCAUGAUAGGAAGCAAUACACAGCAGAUCCAAUAUGAGGGCGAGGCCUUUCUCUGCAAAGUUUGCAGAUGCCUUGGGCAUACCGCUAGUGUAUGCAAAAUUCGACCAUCACCAGCAAUCACGACCAAUCCUUCGGCAUCGGCAAAACAACAUACAUCACUGACGAAACCAGCCCAGGAAUGGCAGACGGUAAGUUUCAAAUGCGGGAAAGGAAGAAAGGAGAACACCAGGGGAAUUCACACAAACAUGGAAAACCCAGGUAAGUUUCCUAUCCAACCAAAGUCCCAGAUCGGAACCGCCGCUUCACCCUCAGAAACCAAUGGCGACGGUAAAGGCAAGUUACCUCAAGGACGCUUGCUUCAGAUCAGGGCCAGCCCAGUUAUCAGUUGGGCCGCUAUUCUCAAUGGACUAAGACGCGUGAGUCGUCACCCAAUGGGACACCUAACAUGCAGCCCAACAAAGGGAAGAACUCAGCAAUUGGCCCUCUAAAGCCUAACUCUAAGGCCCAUUCUAAGGGUGACCGGGUUAACGCUGCUAUCCAGUCCAAACAAACUUUAGAUCGAUGUUUAUUAGGAAUAAAGAAUGAGGCUAAUGCUAAUCCCAACACAAAGGUCGUAUCAGGGACUAAAAAAGUCUCUACACCUCAAAAUUUGGACCCUCCUUCUUCAGCCAAUACCACUCUUCAAACUCCUAACCCAAUAUAAAAUAUCCCUGCUAACUAUCAAGUGAAGGAUAUUAAAAUGAUGGAGGAAGGGGAUACUCAAGUGAAUAACCUUUCUAACACUUUCUCCAAUGACUCUGAGACCCAACUUCCCUCUAAUAGUAACAAUCCUGAUAUCCAUCACUCCGAGCUCAGUAGCCAAGGACAUGGGGAUGCCAUAAAACCCUCCCCAGAACAUCAAUCCAAUUCCCAUCACCUUCACUACACCACCACUUUCAUUGGACCAUCUUCCAAUAUCAUGGUUAGAGAUGGGUCUGCUAGAACUGGAGGUGCCUCUACAGCUAACCUGGAAAGGGAGGCAUAUCAAGAUAAUCAUCCACAACCCGCAUUACCUUGCCCAAAUAAUCACGAAGUGUAUAAAUCAGGGACUGAGAUCAUAUGGUCAAAACAUAUGGAUGUCAGCCCUUAUGAACCUGACCAACCAACCAACCCAGUCCCCUCGACUUCGGACUUAUUGAAAUGAUAGCAAUAAGUCAAUAACUUCUCUUCUUCCCUCCUAAGAGAAGGGAACUACUGGAACAGGGCCCUCUUUUUGUGAACAUCUCUGGGAGCACCUGACCAACCCAAUACCUACAACACCACUUCUGAAAGUAGUCUUGAAUAGGGAACUAAUAAAAAGGGAAAAAACCUUAGAGGUACUGAGAGAAGGGAACGAGGACCUACAAAGAAUCCUGACAUCACUAAAGGUUCCAAGAACCAAAGCCAUAACUCUAGGAAGGCCAGUCCAUCUCACAUUCGAGGGGGUAACAAGAGAAAUAGCCAUUCUUCUUAUACCCAAGGAAACCAUUAUGCUAGACCUAGAGAUAGUUCCCCCAAGCCCUGCAAUAGGCAUCUAUUACAAGACCAAGAUAUCCCCACUAUCCAAGAAGAGAAAGAGGACAAACUCCACACUGGGAAGGGCAAAGAAAUCCUAAUGGAUGCUACAGACUGGGACACACCAACCAUGCCAAUUAUGAAUUGCAUCAUCUGGAACACUAGAUGGGCCAACAAUAUCGAUUUUAGGAGGCAUUGUAAAGCCAUGAUAGAGAUACAUAAACCUACCAUCCUGGCUCUUCUUGAAACCAGGAUGUGGGAUCACAACAGCCUUGCUGAAGAUUUGGGUUACUCCAAAAAGAGUCAAUACCCUGCGGUUAGAAGAUCGGGAGGCUUGUCAUCAUAUGGAAUGAAGACAAUCUCAGCAUCAGCAAUAUCAAUAUAUCCUCUCAAGGCAUUUAUGUCACUGUCCAGGUCCAGGUUAAGCACGUUGGGGAAUCCAGUUAUAUGCAAUAGCUAAAGGAAAGAAAAUAUGGUGGCGGAUUGGUUAGCGAAGAUGGAAGCAAACUCAACACUUUUUGAAAAAGCAAGACUUUUGGAAAUUCCUCCAGUGUGUGCUUGAAAUGCUUUAUGGGAAGACACGAUAGGAACUACAUUUCAACGCAGUGUAAGAUCUAGUUCUGGGGAUAGCCUAGACCGCAGUUAUAGAAUUUUUCAAACCAACCCUGGUUGAUCAACUGGAAAAAUGUAAUAUGCUAGUACUGUGCUCCUUUAUUUAUUUCUAAUCCAACUGCCAUCUUCUAUAAUAAAAAGGAAACAAUAGUUCUGUUGAAAAAAAAA
RNA transcript from Capsicum annuum, 2908 nucleotides. RefSeq lists it as uncharacterized. The record is from RefSeq and is a predicted model, not a curated record. Lineage: Eukaryota; Viridiplantae; Streptophyta; Magnoliopsida; Solanales; Solanaceae. The transcript has 2 exons.